AUACGGAGGAUCCGAGCGUUAUCCGGAUUUAUUGGGUUUAAAGGGUGCGCAGGCGGGAGAUUAAGUCGGCGGUGAAAUUUUGCAGCUCCACUGGAAAAAAGCCUUCGAAACCGGGUUUCUUUGGUGUGGGGGGAGUAGGCGGAAAUUUUGGGGUAGAGGGGAAAUGCAUAGAUAUCACGAGGAACUCCGAUUGCGCAGGCAGCUUACUAAACCAUAACUGACGCUCAGGCACGAAGGCGUGGGGAUCAAACAGGAUUAGAUACCCUGGUAGUCCACGCAGUAAACGAUGAUUACUAGCUGUUUGCGAUACAAUGUAAGCGGCUGAGCGAAAGCGUUAAGUAAUCCACCUGGGGAGUACGUUCGCAAGAAUGAAACUCAAAUGAAUUGACGGGG
Molecule: ribosomal RNA, 393 nt
Filed under: uncultured bacterium
Lineage: Bacteria
Description: partial 16S ribosomal RNA
Rfam family: Bacterial small subunit ribosomal RNA
Source: RNAcentral